AGUCGAGCGGAGAUGAGGUGCUUGCACCUUAUCUUAGCGGCGGACGGGUGAGUAAUGCUUAGGAAUCUGCCUAUUAGUGGGGGACAACAUUCCGAAAGGAAUGCUAAUACCGCAUACGUCCUACGGGAGAAAGCAGGGGAUCUUCGGACCUUGCGCUAAUAGAUGAGCCUAAGUCGGAUUAGCUAGUUGGUGGGGUAAAGGCCUACCAAGGCGACGAUCUGUAGUGGGUCUGAGAGGAUGAUCCGCCACACUGGGACUGAGACACGGCCCAGACUCCUACGGGAGGCAGCAGUGGGGAAUAUUGGACAAUGGGGGGAACCCUGAUCCAGCCAUGCCGCGUGUGUGAAGAAGGCCUUAUGGUUGUAAAGCACUUUAAGCGAGGAGGAGGCUACUGAGACUAAUACUCUUGGAUAGUGGACGUUACUCGCAGAAUAAGCACCGGCUAACUCUGUGCCAGCAGCCGCGGUAAUACAGAGGGUGCGAGCGUUAAUCGGAUUUACUGGGCGUAAAGCGUGCGUAGGCGGCUUUUUAAGUCGGAUGUGAAAUCCCCGAGCUUAACUUGGGAAUUGCAUUCGAUACUGGGAAGCUAGAGUAUGGGAGAGGAUGGUAGAAUUCCAGGUGUAGCGGUGAAAUGCGUAGAGAUCUGGAGGAAUACCGAUGGCGAAGGCAGCCAUCUGGCCUAAUACUGACGCUGAGGUACGAAAGCAUGGGGAGCAAACAGGAUUAGAUACCCUGGUAGUCCAUGCCGUAAACGAUGUCUACUAGCCGUUGGGGCCUUUGAGGCUUUAGUGGC
Molecule: ribosomal RNA, 793 nt
Filed under: uncultured bacterium
Lineage: Bacteria
Description: bacterial SSU rRNA
Rfam family: Bacterial small subunit ribosomal RNA
Source: RNAcentral